CUCAUCUUUUCUGCUGCCACAACUCCAGUCCAAGCCACAAACCUCUCUCUCCUGGACUCCUGCGGGGAGUUCCUUUCUCUCCCUGCAUGAGUCUAUUCUCCGCACAACUGGCAGAGGUAAGUGAGACUGCGGAAGAGGCAAGUUUGCAAGUCCAGAGGAAAUGAAGACUCUGCUUGUGCACAUGCUGGGUUUGACGGGUGCUGGAUAUCCGAUGGAUGGCCCUUAAGGUCGCCUUUUCUCCUUCUCUUAGAGUUUGGAGGACGCAAAUGUGCUGAGAAGUCAACCUUUCCUGCAAGAAAUUUUGCAUUGAUUCCCUGAAGAAGCAUUAAUAUGGGACCUGACUUAUAAAAUGAUGAACUCAAUCUCCCCACUCAAGAACUGCUGCUUAGCCUCCUGCCAGAUGAUGAACUGGGUACACACGAGCAUUUUUCCAGCACCCACAGAUCUCACCAAGAACCUAGCUGAAGCCUGUAGAAUGAAUAGCGUUCAUGAUCUGCUUCUCACAUGAUAUUGACUUACGUCAUUUCUGCAUUUCCUGUCUUCCACACUAAAAUGUCAGCCUGUUUUGUUCACUGCUGUAUCCCCAGAGCCUAGCACGGAGCCCAGCAUGUAGUGGUAUCCAAUAAAUACUUGUUGCAUGAAUG
Molecule: long non-coding RNA, 644 nt
Filed under: Homo sapiens (human)
Lineage: Eukaryota; Metazoa; Chordata; Mammalia; Primates; Hominidae
Description: HSALNT0168485
Source: RNAcentral